AGGACGAACGCUGGCGGCGUGCUUAACACAUGCAAGUCACGGGGGCCCGCAAGGGCAACCGGCGAACGGGUGCGUAACACGUGAGCAACCUACCGAGAUGUGGGGGAUAGCCGGCCCAACGGCCGGGUAAUACCGCAUACGCUCUUUCCACGGCAUUGUGGAUUGAGGAAACCUCCGGGGGCAUUUCGAGGGGCUCGCGGCCUAUCAGCUAGUUGGUGCGGUCACGGCGCACCAAGGCGACGACGGGUAGCUGGUCUGAGAGGAUGGCCAGCCACAUUGGGACUGAGAAACGGCCCAGACUCCUACGGAGGCAGCAGUGGGGAAUCUUGCGCAAUGG
This 337-nucleotide ribosomal RNA is filed under the name uncultured soil bacterium. RNAcentral describes it as "bacterial SSU rRNA". It matches the Rfam family "Bacterial small subunit ribosomal RNA", at positions 26 to 374 of the family's 1533-position model. The record is from RNAcentral.